GGAGAGGUAGCAUAGUCCGGUCUAAUGCGCGCGCCUGGAGAGCGCGUGAGCCGAAAGGCUCCAUGGGUUCAAAUCCCAUCCUCUCCGCCA
This 90-nucleotide transfer RNA is filed under the name Chloroflexota bacterium. Its description in RNAcentral is "Chloroflexi bacterium (sediment metagenome) tRNA-Ser". It matches the Rfam family "tRNA". From Rfam's summary of the family: Transfer RNA (tRNA) molecules are approximately 80 nucleotides in length. Their secondary structure includes four short double-helical elements and three loops (D, anti-codon, and T loops). Lineage: Bacteria; Bacillati; Chloroflexota. The record is from RNAcentral. RNAcentral also lists the same sequence under 1 other name.